UGCAUAUCCAAAAAGCGGAGGAAAAGAAACCAACAGGGAUUGCCUUAGUAGCGGCGAGUGAAGCGGCAAAAGCUCAAAUUUGAAAUCUGGCGCCUUCGGUGUCCGAGUUGUAAUUUGAAGAUUGUAACCUUGGGGUUGGCUCUUGUCUAUGUUUCUUGGAACAGGACGUCACAGAGGGUGAGAAUCCCGUGCGAUGAGAUGCCCAAUUCUAUGUAAGGUGCUUUCGAAGAGUCGAGUUGUUUGGGAAUGCAGCUCUAAGUGGGUGGUAAAUUCCAUCUAAAGCUAAAUAUUGGCGAGAGACCGAUAGCGAACAAGUACAGUGAUGGAAAGAUGAAAAGAACUUUGAAAAGAGAGUGAAAAAGUACGUGAAAUUGUUGAAAGGGAAGGGUUUGAGAUCAGACUCGAUAUUUUGUGAGCCUUGCCUUCGUGGCGGGGUGACCCGCAGCUUAUCGGGCCAGCAUCGGUUUGGGCGGUAGGAUAAUGGCGUAGGAAUGUGACUUUACUUCGGUGAAGUGUUAUAGCCUGCGUUGAUGCUGCCUGCCUAGACCGAGGACUGCGAUUUUAUCAAGGAUGCUGGCAUAAUGAUCCCAAACCGCCCGUCUUGAACCCACGGACCA
Molecule: ribosomal RNA, 617 nt
Filed under: Meyerozyma guilliermondii
Lineage: Eukaryota; Fungi; Ascomycota; Pichiomycetes; Serinales; Debaryomycetaceae
Description: partial large subunit ribosomal RNA
Rfam family: Eukaryotic large subunit ribosomal RNA
Source: RNAcentral